RNAcentral lists this ribosomal RNA (468 nucleotides) under uncultured bacterium. Its description in RNAcentral is "partial 16S ribosomal RNA". It matches the Rfam family "Bacterial small subunit ribosomal RNA", at positions 28 to 507 of the family's 1533-position model. The record is from RNAcentral.
GACGAACGCUGGCGGCGUGCUUAACACAUGCAAGUCGAACGGAAAGGCCCUGCUUUUGUGGGGUGCUCGAGUGGCGAACGGGUGAGUAACACGUGAGUAACCUGCCCUUGACUUUGGGAUAACUUCAGGAAACUGGGGCUAAUACCGGAUAGGAGCUCCUGCUGCAUGGUGGGGGUUGGAAAGUUUCGGCGGUUGGGGAUGGACUCGCGGCUUAUCAGCUUGUUGGUGGGGUAGUGGCUUACCAAGGCUUUGACGGGUAGCCGGCCUGAGAGGGUGACCGGCCCCAUUGGGCCUGGGAUACGGCCCAGCCUCCUACGGGAGGCAGCGGUGGGGAAUAUUGCACAAUGGGCGGAAGCCUGAUGCAGCCACGCCGCGUGCGGGAUGACGGCCUUCGGGUUGUAAACCACUUUCGCCUGUGACGAAGCGUGAGUGACGGUAAUGGGUAAAGAAGCACCGGCUAACUACGUG